Molecule: ribosomal RNA, 429 nt
Filed under: Gemmatimonadota bacterium
Lineage: Bacteria; Pseudomonadati; Gemmatimonadota
Description: Gemmatimonadetes bacterium partial 16S ribosomal RNA
Rfam family: Bacterial small subunit ribosomal RNA
Source: RNAcentral
UAGGGAAUCUUCGGCAAUGGACGAAAGUCUGACCGAGCAACGCCGCGUGAGUGAAGAAGGUUUUCGGAUCGUAAAACUCUGUUGUUAGAGAAGAACAAGGACGUUAGUAACUGAACGUCCCCUGACGGUAUCUAACCAGAAAGCCACGGCUAACUACGUGCCAGCAGCCGCGGUAAUACGUAGGUGGCAAGCGUUGUCCGGAUUUAUUGGGCGUAAAGCGAGCGCAGGCGGUUUCUUAAGUCUGAUGUGAAAGCCCCCGGCUCAACCGGGGAGGGUCAUUGGAAACUGGGAGACUUGAGUGCAGAAGAGGAGAGUGGAAUUCCAUGUGUAGCGGUGAAAUGCGUAGAUAUAUGGAAGAACACCAGUGGCGAAGGCGGCACUCUGGUCUGUAACUGACGCUGAGGCUCGAAAGCGUGGGGAGCAAACAGG